GUGUGAGCUUGUGUGUGUGUGAGCCUGUGUGUGUGUGUGUGUGAGCCUGUGUGUGUGUGUGUGUGUGUGUGUGUUUGUGUGUGUGUGUGUGUGUGUGUGAGCUUGUGUGUGUGUGUGUGUGUGAGCCUGUGUGUAUGUGAGCGUGUGUGUGUGUGUGUGUGUGUGUGAGCUGUCUCGUGUGUGUGUGAGCUUGUGUGUGUGUGUGUGUGAGCUCGUGUGUGUGUGUGAGCUUGUGUUUGUGUGUGUGUGUGCUUGUGUGUGUGAGCUUGUGUGUGUGUGUGUGUGUGAGAUUGUGUGUGAGCUUGUGUGAGCUUGUGUGAGUUUGUGUUU
Oncorhynchus tshawytscha (Chinook salmon) is the source of this 330-nucleotide long non-coding RNA. Lineage: Eukaryota; Metazoa; Chordata; Actinopteri; Salmoniformes; Salmonidae. The record is from Ensembl.